AUACGGAAGGUCCGGGCGUUAUCCGGAUUUAUUGGGUUUAAAGGGAGCGCAGGCGGAGAUGCAAGCGUGACGUCAAAUUUCGGGGCUCAACCCCGUCUCGCGUCGCGAACUGCGUCCCUUGGUUGCGGGAAGGGGAGGCGGAACUCGUGGUGUAGCGGUGAAAUGCAUAGAGAUCACGAAGAACUCCGAUCGCGAAGGCAGCCUUCCGGCCCGUCAACGACGCUCAUGCUCGAAGGUGCGGGUAUCAAACGGGAUUAGAUACCCUGGUAGUCCGCACAGUAAACGAUGGACACCCGCGGUUUGGCCUGUAUGGCUGAGCCGCCAAGCGAAAGCGUUAAGUGUCCCACCUGGGGAGUACGCCGGCAACGGUGAAACUCAAAUGAAUUGACGGGG
Molecule: ribosomal RNA, 393 nt
Filed under: uncultured bacterium
Lineage: Bacteria
Description: partial 16S ribosomal RNA
Rfam family: Bacterial small subunit ribosomal RNA
Source: RNAcentral